Molecule: regulatory RNA element, 57 nt
Organism: Streptomyces alboflavus
Lineage: Bacteria; Bacillati; Actinomycetota; Actinomycetes; Kitasatosporales; Streptomycetaceae
Rfam family: L17-Actino-Proteobacteria ribosomal protein leader
Source: Rfam
CCGCGCCCCUUACGGGGCUCGGUCCACUGACCCCGGUACCUGAUACGGCCGGGGCAG